AAUACCUUUGCUCAUUGACGUUACCCGCAGAAGAAGCACCGGCUAACUCCGUGCCAGCAGCCGCGGUAAUACGGAGGGUGCAAGCGUUAAUCGGAAUUACUGGGCGUAAAGCGCACGCAGGCGGUUUGUUAAGUCAGAUGUGAAAUCCCCGGGCUCAACCUGGGAACUGCAUCUGAUACUGGCAAGCUUGAGUCUCGUAGAGGGGGGUAGAAUUCCAGGUGUAGCGGUGAAAUGCGUAGAGAUCUGGAGGAAUACCGGUGGCGAAGGCGGCCCCCUGGACGAAGACUGACGCUCAGGUGCGAAAGCGUGGGGAGCAAACAGGA
Molecule: ribosomal RNA, 323 nt
Filed under: Escherichia coli
Lineage: Bacteria; Pseudomonadati; Pseudomonadota; Gammaproteobacteria; Enterobacterales; Enterobacteriaceae
Description: bacterial SSU rRNA
Rfam family: Bacterial small subunit ribosomal RNA
Source: RNAcentral